RNAcentral lists this unclassified non-coding RNA (701 nucleotides) under Hevea brasiliensis (rubber tree). Lineage: Eukaryota; Viridiplantae; Streptophyta; Magnoliopsida; Malpighiales; Euphorbiaceae. The record is from RNAcentral.
UCCUGUGGUUGCAGUUAAGAGCAACAUAAUCUGAUUUGAUCUACUCAAGCUUCAACUUUGGCCACCUUUCGCGGUUCUACUUGACCAGUUAGAGGGCACUGCAUUUCUGUCCAACUAAUUGGAACCAUGGUACCACCAGCUGCACUUUCAGCAGAUACAACACCCAGCUCAUUUUUUGCGGUUGACAGAUAAUAUGCUCUUGCAUCUCCAAGUGAUAGCACCAAUGCACGAAUAAUAUCACCCGGUCGGAAGGACAAAUGCAUGUCGACUUUGUCAAUCUCAGUUGCUCUGACAUCUUGUUGCCUAAUAAUGCCAGUAAAUUUCUCACGCACAGAUUUGGAAUCAACACACACUAUGUCUGCCGAUGCCGUUCUAGCCAUCACCUUAGUAACUCUAGCAAAAACAACGGAACCAGGCUUAGGAACUGCUCCAUGGGCUUUAUGACCAGUAACUUCGACUGUUGAUCUCUGAUCAACAGCGUCGGAAUGCGGAGGUAUAAGAGAACGGAACCCGGUAAGAGAGGCGUAAACAGUGCCAUUCUCAGUUGAAACGUAAGCCCCCUUUCCAGCUUUCAACUGUGAUGCUUUACCUAAUACUUGUCCUGGCGUGACCAACUCCUGGGUUUCAGCUUCCAUAGCCAUCGUCAUGCUCCAGCAACGGCUACUCAAACAAGUCCUCUCGAAAACAAAACUCUGUUCGGG